This 253-nucleotide ribosomal RNA is filed under the name uncultured prokaryote. RNAcentral's name for it is "partial 16S ribosomal RNA". It matches the Rfam family "Bacterial small subunit ribosomal RNA", at positions 524 to 776 of the family's 1533-position model. The record is from RNAcentral.
UACGUAGGUGGCAAGCGUUGUUCGGCCUUCUUGUUCUUCCCGGGCGCGUAGGCGGCUUGUUAAGUCGGCUGUGAAAGCCCGGGGCUCAACCCCGGAGGGUCAGCCGAUACUGGCAGGCUAGAGUACGGAAGAGGUAGCUGGAAUUCCCGGUGUAGCGGUGAAAUGCGUAGAUAUCGUUUGGAACGCCAAUGGUGAAAACAGGUUGCUGGGAGUGUGCUGACGCUGAGACACGAAAGCCAGGGGAGCAAACGGG